RNAcentral lists this transfer RNA (71 nucleotides) under Loxodonta africana (African savanna elephant). It matches the Rfam family "tRNA". From Rfam's summary of the family: Transfer RNA (tRNA) molecules are approximately 80 nucleotides in length. Their secondary structure includes four short double-helical elements and three loops (D, anti-codon, and T loops). Lineage: Eukaryota; Metazoa; Chordata; Mammalia; Proboscidea; Elephantidae. The record is from Rfam by way of RNAcentral.
GCAUUGGUGUUUCAGUGGUAGAAUUCUCACCUUCCAUCUGGGAGACCUAGCUUCGAUUCCCAGCCAACGCA